AUGACUCCCUUGAGAGCCCUGUUCCCCGUUCAUCAACACACAGACCCAGAAGACUCCUCCGUCCUGCAGCACCUGCCAUGAGCAUCAGCCUCCUGUGCUGUGCAACCUUUUGUCUCUUUUGGGCAGGUCCAGUGAAUGCUGGUGUCACUCAAACCCCAAAAUUCCAGGUCCUGAGGACAGGACAGAGCACAACAAUGGAGUGUUCCCAGGAUAUGAACCAUGACCGCAUGUACUGGUAUCGACAAGACCCAGGCAUGGGGCUGAGGCUGAUUCAUUACUCAGUUGGUGAAGGUACCACUGACAAAGGAGAAGUCCACGAUGGCUACAAUGUCUCCAGAUCAAACACAAAGGAUUUCCCACUCAGGCUGGAGGCAGCUUCUCCCUCACAGACAUCUGUGUACUUCUGUGCCAGCAGUGACUCCACAGUGCUGCAAGGCUGUCUCCUCUCUGCACAUAAAGGCAGGGAGGCUCUGCCCUCCUCCCCCACCCAAGACUCAGCAAUGUCCUUGGUCCUAGCACCAGAAACUUUGGAGCCCCAAUGGGCCCAGGCAGUGUGAGCCUUGGUCUGGGCCAGGUGCCUCUGCAGUCAGUGUAAUCCAGGCCUGGACUGGUCGCAGGGCCUCAGAUGUCUUCUUUGUGGCCCUCUGGUCUUUCCUCUGAGCAGUCCAUUUGGGUUGGGGCC
Molecule: non-coding RNA, 682 nt
Organism: Callithrix jacchus (white-tufted-ear marmoset)
Lineage: Eukaryota; Metazoa; Chordata; Mammalia; Primates; Cebidae
Source: the annotation of a RefSeq genome assembly